Molecule: long non-coding RNA, 309 nt
Organism: Malaclemys terrapin pileata
Lineage: Eukaryota; Metazoa; Chordata; Testudines; Emydidae
Exons: 3
Source: RefSeq, a predicted model, not a curated record
CCUGGACCUGUGAGGAUGGAACAGCUGGAGAAGCGCAGGUCCAAAAGGCGGCGGGCUACGAUUAGGCCUAGAGAUAGGAAACAAUUGACGGUAAGCCGUAUGGAUCGGAGAGCUUCGUCGAACGUUGAAGCUUUGAGGAGGCAAUUGUCUAGGUGUCUGGAGACCUAAGGACCAGAGGGUUGCCCUUGAGUCCUUCAUUGAAUGAAGCACAUCAUUCGUGGUGGAGGCAAACAGUUUUUCACCGUCAAAGGGAAGAUCUUCAAUGGUGCUCUGAACCUCUCGAGGAAAGAAAGAGGAGGAGAGCCAUGA